CUAGUACGAGAGGAACCGUUGAUUCGCACAAUUGGCACGCGCUUGGUUGAAAAGCCAGUGGCGCGAAGCUACCGUGCGUUGGAUUAUGACUGAACGCCUCUAAGUCAGAAUCCGGGCUAGACCGACGCAUGCGCUCGUCGCCCGUUUGCCGACCCCAGUAGGGGCCAUUUGCCCCAAGGGCACGUGUCGUUGGCUAAGCCGUCGUGGCGGAAGGGUCACGGUGCCGCCUUGAAUUACAAUUCGAUCGAGCGGCGAGCUGAAUCCUUUGCAGACGACUUAAAUACGCGACGGGGUAUUGUAAGGGUAGAGUGGCCUUGCUGCCACGAUCCUCUGAGAUUCAGCCCUUUGUCGCUCCGAUUCGU
Molecule: non-coding RNA, 362 nt
Filed under: Ipomoea nil (Japanese morning glory)
Lineage: Eukaryota; Viridiplantae; Streptophyta; Magnoliopsida; Solanales; Convolvulaceae
Description: Eukaryotic large subunit ribosomal RNA
Rfam family: Eukaryotic large subunit ribosomal RNA
Source: Rfam by way of RNAcentral